Molecule: ribosomal RNA, 460 nt
Filed under: uncultured bacterium
Lineage: Bacteria
Description: partial 16S ribosomal RNA
Rfam family: Bacterial small subunit ribosomal RNA
Source: RNAcentral
CCUACGGGAGGCAGCAGUGAGGAAUAUUGGUCAAUGGACGAGAGUCUGAACCAGCCAAGUAGCGUGAAGGAUGACUGCCCUAUGGGUUGUAAACUUCUUUUAUAUGGGAAUAAAAUGUUCCACGUGUGGGAUUUUGUAUGUACCAUAUGAAUAAGGAUCGGCUAACUCCGUGCCAGCAGCCGCGGUAAUACGGAGGAUCCGAGCGUUAUCCGGAUUUAUUGGGUUUAAAGGGAGCGUAGGUGGAUUGUUAAGUCAGUUGUGAAAGGUUGCGGCUCAACCGUAAAAUUGCAGUUGAAACUGGCAGUCUUGAGUACAGUAGAGGUAGGCGGAAUUCGUGGUGUAGCGGUGAAAUGCUUAGAUAUCACGAAGAACUCCGAUUGCGAAGGCAGCCUGCUGGACUGUAACUGACGCUGAUGCUCGAAAGUGUGGGUAUCAAACAGGAUUAGAUACCCUUGUAGUC